AUCCUGUUCUCACCUUGGAUCUGAAGCUUUAAAACCCUCAAAAUUUACAUCAAUUAGUAAAAUUCCCGGGGGUAAAAAACUAAUUACAUUCAUUUUCAUUUAGAUCAGUCAGCCGUUCACCUGUAGAAAGAUCAACUGACACAAUUCACUAGCUCCGCAAUGAGCUCUCCGGGUUGUGAAUUAUUCUGUGGAUUUAUAGAGCUAUGUAAGGGACUAACAAUGAUACUAAUCGGCGGCGACAUUGUUGUUCAGCUUAUCCCUUCUUCUGUUACUUACCUCGCUCUUAUUCCCCCAGGACAGUUCCUUUUGGUUGGAACCUCAUAACAAGCUGGUUAUAUUGAACAAUCAGUACAUGGGGUUGUUGUCAGCACUAUUGGUCUUCUUUUCAUGGGGAAGUUGCUUGAGCCUAUAUGGGGUUCUAAGGAGUUCCUAAAGUUCAUCUUCGUAAUUAACUUCCUAACUUCUUUCUGUGUUUUCAUAACUGCUGUCGCUUUAUACUACAUAACAAUGCAGGAAAAUUACCUGCGAGUACUACAAUCCCCUCUGUGUUUUUGUAAGCAUUUUUUUUCUAUUAAUUCUUCGCAUAGCCUUACAUCUUCUGCUUGUUCUUUUUCCUCCAUUCUUAUCAAAUGUUUGAGAAUUGAAAUAGAAUAUAUUUCUAUAUUGAAGCACUCACCCUUUUCCCCUCAUUGUUCUUAUUGGUAGGACUAUGGCAUAUUUUUCUCGAAGUUUAUGAAAUAUAUUGUGCAAAUUUUAACCUAAUUAUUUUUCAAUCAUGUUUACAACCCUUAUACCUCUGAACUAUGUUACUUAGACUCGGGUGUAAGUGCGGAUAUGAGCAUAUUCCAAAAUUGGAAUGUUUAAUCAUAUCCCAUGCCCAUGUCCGAGUAUGUGUUUGAUGUGGGUACUAUAGGGAAAAAUGAAGAGUGCCUCUCAACCCUUGGCCUGCUAAUUUUCUUUUGGUCAUUUUGCUAGUAACAUGCCUCAUUCCGGUUUCCAUGGAGUGCUGGCGGGUUUCUUGGUUGGCAUCAAACAAAUUGUACCUGACCAAGAACUAUCUUUGCUAAAAAUAAAAGCGAAGUGGCUGCCGUCACUUAUGCUGUUGAUUUCUAUCUCCCUAAGUUUCUUCACCCCAGAGUCAGCAACAUAUCAUCCAACUUUUUGAUAUUUGGAACAUAUAUGGGGUGGAUUUACCUCAGAUACUUUCAGAGAAAAUCUGAAGCAAAGCACAGGGGUGAUCCAAGUGAAGAUUUUUCAUUCUCUAUGUUUUCCCCCGAAUUUAUAAA
This is a long non-coding RNA of Hibiscus syriacus, 1286 nucleotides long. RefSeq lists it as uncharacterized. The transcript has 5 exons. The record is from RefSeq and is a predicted model, not a curated record. NCBI's taxonomy places the organism in Eukaryota, Viridiplantae, Streptophyta, Magnoliopsida, Malvales, Malvaceae.